RNAcentral lists this ribosomal RNA (645 nucleotides) under uncultured fungus. RNAcentral's name for it is "eukaryotic LSU rRNA". The stretch from base 246 to 399 matches the Rfam family "5.8S ribosomal RNA". Lineage: Eukaryota; Fungi. The record is from RNAcentral.
CAUUAUUGAAUAAACCUGAUGUGGCUGUUAGCUGGCUUUUCGAAGCAUGUGCUCGCCCGUCAUCUUUAUCUCUCCACCUGUGCACAUUUUGUAGUCUUUCGAUAUCUCUCGAGGCAACUCGGAUUUUAGAAUCGUCGUGCUGUACAAGUCGGCUUUUCUUUCCUUUCCAAGACUAUGUUUUUAUAUACACCAAAGUAUGUUUAAAGAAUGUCAUCAAUAGGAACUUGUUUCCUAUAAAAUCAUACAACUUUCAGCAACGGAUCUCUUGGCUCUCGCAUCGAUGAAGAACGCAGCGAAAUGCGAUAAGUAAUGUGAAUUGCAGAAUUCAGUGAAUCAUCGAAUCUUUGAACGCACCUUGCGCUCCUUGGUAUUCCGAGGAGCAUGCCUGUUUGAGUGUCAUUAAAUUCUCAACCUUCCAACUUUUAUUAGCUUGGUUAGGCUUGGAUGUGGGGGUUGUGGGCUUCAUUAAUGAGGUCGACUCUCCUUAAAUGCAUUAGCAGAACUUUUGUGGACCGUCUAUUGGUGUGAUAAUUAUCUACGCCGUGGAUGUGAAGCAACUUUAUGAAGUUCAGCUUCUAACCGUCCAUUAAUUUGGACAAUUUUGAAAAUUUGACCUCAAAUCAGGUAGGACUACCCGCUGAACUU